RNAcentral lists this small nuclear RNA (104 nucleotides) under Suricata suricatta (meerkat). Its description in RNAcentral is "U2 spliceosomal RNA (ENSSSUG00005015401.1)". It matches the Rfam family "U2 spliceosomal RNA". Rfam says of the family: U2 is a small nuclear RNA (snRNA) component of the spliceosome (involved in pre-mRNA splicing). Complementary binding between U2 snRNA (in an area lying towards the 5' end but 3' to hairpin I) and the branchpoint sequence (BPS) of the intron results the bulging out of an unpaired adenosine, on the BPS, which initiates a nucleophilic attack at the intronic 5' splice site, thus starting the first of two transesterification reactions that mediate splicing. Lineage: Eukaryota; Metazoa; Chordata; Mammalia; Carnivora; Herpestidae. The record is from Rfam by way of RNAcentral.
AUCGCUUCUCGGCCUUUUGGCUAAGAUCAAAUGUAGUAUCUGUUCUUAUCAGUUUAAAGCCUGCUGCAGCAAGUAGCAAGGUGCUGUCUGUACAAGUACCAUGC